AUACUUACCUGGACAGGGUCAAUGGGCGAUCAACAAGGCCUAUGGCCUAAAUUGAUGACUUCUAUUGCACUUAGGAAGGGUAUCAAUUUAAGGUCUACUGUAAUGGUGGAGUCUACGUCAUAAUUUGUGGUAGAGGAGACCUGCGUUCACGCGAUCCCUA
Molecule: small nuclear RNA, 160 nt
Filed under: Ipomoea nil (Japanese morning glory)
Lineage: Eukaryota; Viridiplantae; Streptophyta; Magnoliopsida; Solanales; Convolvulaceae
Description: U1 spliceosomal RNA
Rfam family: U1 spliceosomal RNA
About the family: U1 is a small nuclear RNA (snRNA) component of the spliceosome (involved in pre-mRNA splicing). Its 5' end forms complementary base pairs with the 5' splice junction, thus defining the 5' donor site of an intron.
Source: Rfam by way of RNAcentral